UUGCUCUUCAACGAGGAAUUCCUAGUAAGCGUGAGUCAUCAGCUCGCGUUGAUUACGUCCCUGCCCUUUGUACACACCGCCCGUCGCUACUACCGAUUGAAUGGCUUAGUGAGGUCUUGGGAUUGGCUUCGGGGAGCCGGCAACGGCACCCUGUCGCUGAGAACUUGAUCAAACUUGGUCAUUUAGAGGAAGUAAAAGUCGUAACAAGGUUUCCGUAGGUGAACCUGCGGAAGGAUCAUUAACGAGUUUUGACAUGGGUUGUAGCUGGCCUCACGAGGCAUGUGCACGCCCUGCUCAUCCACUCUACACCUGUGCACUUACUGUAGGUUUGGCGUGGGCUUUCGGGGCCUUCACGGGCUUUGUGAGCAUUCUGCCUGCCUAUGUAUCACUAUAAACACUACGAAGUAACAGAAUGUAAUCGCGUCUAACGCAUCUUAAUACAACUUUCAGCAACGGAUCUCUUGGCUCUCGCAUCGAUGAAGAACGCAGCGAAAUGCGAUAAGUAAUGUGAAUUGCAGAAUUCAGUGAAUCAUCGAAUCUUUGAACGCACCUUGCGCUCCUUGGUAUUCCGAGGAGCAUGCCUGUUUGAGUGUCAUGGUAUUCUCAACCCACACAUCCUUGUGAUGCUUGUGAGGCUUGGACUUGGAGGCUUGCUGGCCCAUCGCGGUCGGCUCCUCUUGAAUGCAUUAGCUUGGUUCCUUGCGGAUCGGCUCUCAGUGUGAUAAUUGUCUACGCUGUGACCGUGAAGCGUUUGGCGAGCUUCUAACCGUCCUGCUAGGGACAACUUACUUGACAUCUGACCUCAAAUCAGGUAGGACUACCCGCUGAACUUAAGCAUAUCAAUAAGCGGAGGA
Molecule: ribosomal RNA, 854 nt
Filed under: uncultured fungus
Lineage: Eukaryota; Fungi
Description: eukaryotic LSU rRNA
Rfam family: Eukaryotic small subunit ribosomal RNA (bases 1-241)
Source: RNAcentral